CUAUGGCCAUUCCACUCUGAACACACCCCAUCUCCUCUGAUCUUGGAAGCUAAGCAGGGUCGGGCCUGAUUAGUUUAGGAGUCAGGCAGUAGCACAGU
This is a ribosomal RNA of Erinaceus europaeus (western European hedgehog), 98 nucleotides long. Lineage: Eukaryota; Metazoa; Chordata; Mammalia; Eulipotyphla; Erinaceidae. The record is from Ensembl.